UCCAAAUAUCCCUACUCAUUUGCAGAAAAACCAUACCCAUUUGCAGAAACAACCCCCCCCCCCUCGCGUCUUCUCCAAAUACCCCUACUCUUCUUCAAAAAAUUUUUCUUUUUUACCCUAAUUAGCAAGUUUAAAAUUCACCAAAAAUUAAACUUACUCCUCUUUAAAAUUCACACUAUUAUACUACUGCUUCUUCACUCCUCAGACACCCAACAAAUUUCCAAAAAAAUUUCUCCAUUAGAGACAGACAAAAUUCCUUGUUUCCUUCUUCCCCACUGCCUCUGUAAUCUCCAUUGCCGGCUUCCCUAAUAAACCAAUGCAACUCUCAUUUGUCACUUUUCUAUAUCCCUGAAACCCAACUCAAAAAUUCCCAAUUCUUUCGUUAUUUUCUUUCUUUUCUUCAAUUCUCGUUCUGUAAUUCAGGAGUGAACCAUUUGAUCUUUCUAUACUUUUUUGUGAUUCCCUUUUGGACAUACUGUAGUGGGGUUUUCG
RNAcentral lists this long non-coding RNA (492 nucleotides) under Solanum tuberosum (potato). Its description in RNAcentral is "long non-coding RNA (STUB_LNC005056)". The record is from RNAcentral. Lineage: Eukaryota; Viridiplantae; Streptophyta; Magnoliopsida; Solanales; Solanaceae.